This 1591-nucleotide long non-coding RNA is filed under the name Pelobates cultripes (western spadefoot toad). Lineage: Eukaryota; Metazoa; Chordata; Amphibia; Anura; Pelobatidae. The record is from RNAcentral.
AAUGGUUUCUGCAUAUUUUUUUGAUUUUGUGACGGUAUCUGUACUGGUAUACACCAAACUGAAGGAGACAUGUUAAUUUGAAAGUUUUUUUUUUUUAUUUUGUACCGACAACCAAAAUCCAAUACUUUAUGUAAAAUGAAGCCAUUACAUGGUCAGCUUUAAUCAGUAUCAAUUUUCUUCAGUUCUGAUGAUUUGGGCCGACAUCUGUGAUAGUAUUAAAAAGGGAUACCAAAGCACAUAACCCCAUUGUACAGCGCUAUGGAAUCUGAUGGAGCAAUAUAAUAAUCCACUACAUGCAGUGGUUUCGGUGCAUAGAUUGAAUAAUUUCCUCGGACAAAAACAAACAUUACUAUUUGUGAGAAUUAACUUGUCUGACAACUAGGGACUAUCAUACUGAAUCAGUAGUGGGCUUGCUAAUUAAUGCUGUAUUGUUAAAUUAUCAGGUUCCAUUUUUAAAUUUAAAAUUCCCCUCCAUUUGCCUUUGGAAAUUCGCCAUACAUAAAAAGUAUGCACUAACAUGCAGCUUUUGUUCUUUGGCAAUAGGCACUACUUAAAAGGAACAAUCUGGGCACCUAUCUAACUAAAAAGGACACUCCAGCCCCCUAACGCACUUCAACUUGCUGAAGUGCGUGUUGUGUUUUUGAUUGAGAUAAAACGUAAACAAAACUUGGAAUUUGACCAUAUGUCUGUUCACCGGUAAUUCACCUCUCUCAUAUUAAAAAGCACCCACACUUAUUAUAUAUCAUUUUAUUCAGGAGAAAUAGUGCUUUCAUAUAACAUAUUUAGCUAUGAAAUAUAUGAAUAAAAUAUUAAAAGAAAUGUUAUUUUUAAUUCUGCAUGACAUUUUAACUGUGAAUGUCAUAAUACGUUAGCUUUUACUGCAAUAAAACACAUUUGUAUUCAGCGAUGUCUCGCGUGUAAAACAAUACCCCCCUCUGUCCAGGUUUUAUGGGGGUUUUGGGAAGUUACAUUUUUUCCACAUUGAAAUACGCCGGAUUGGUUACGUUGCCUUUGAGACCUUAUGAGAAUUACUCCCAUGAUGGCAUACCAUUUGCAAUAGUAGACAACCCUAGGUAUUGCACAUGGGAGAGUUUCCCAUUUUUUAGUAGCCACAAACACUGGCCAAAGUUAGCAUUAAUAUUUGUGUGCGAAAAACCAAUUUGAACCCCAAUUUUGGCUAGUGUUUGUGACUAAGUGGCUACUAAAAAGACUGGACAUACCCUAUUUGCAAUACCUUGGGUUGUCUACUUUUGCAAAUGGUAUGCCAGCAUAGGGGUAAGUCUCAUUCCUGGGCUACCAUACGGUCUCAAAGGCAACGUAACCAAUCUAGCUUAUUUCAAUGUGAAAAAAACCUGAAAAGCCUUAUAUUUGACGCUAAUGUACAGGGUUUUAUGGUGUGUUGGAAAGCAACAGGGUUAAAUAAAUAUAGUGCUAGCAAAUUAAAUUCUCUGGACGUUCUGGCAGGUCCCGCGAAUUGUAAUUAAGUCAUUUUAUUAAUUAUGUAAAAUCUUUACUUAAAUGUAUACGUAGAAUUAAAAUACACACUGUUCCAAGUAUUUUGAAGAAAAAAAAGUUAGAUUGUAUUUUGAGA